GACGGAGAGGGACCCAGGGAUGCUGCCAGAGGAGAGAAUCGGCAUUCCUGGAGAAGUGCCGGAGCCCCUGAAGUUGAUGGAGACCCCUCACCUCUGUCCCUUGGGAGCACGGGCUAUGAUGAUGCUGAUGAGAUGUCUCUGUCAUAACCCCAUUGGACACAAAGGCUGUGACACCAGAGCGCUAGGAUGCCUGAGCUCUGGGACAAGAGACUCUGUCCCUGCCAUGAAGUUGGGUGUAGACACAAAGGAGAGGUCAGUGCCACUGAGAGAGCCGUGAGUGCCAGCAGCUCUUUUCACAGGGGCAUCAGAAACAGCCAUGCAAUUCCUCCAAGUUUUAUUCCUCUGCUUUUAUGUUGUGCAUUGCUACUGGUUCCUAUUAAAACACUGUGAGAGCUUUGACCCAGAGCUUUUGCUUGCCCGCCCAUAUUUUGGGACAUCUCUCUGAGGCUGACUGGAUAAGCAGAGCACAAGGGCACAGUGUUGGGCUGGGGCACUUCUUGGGGACAGUGGGCUUGGGCUCAGGGCCAUGGUGCCUGGGAA
This 540-nucleotide long non-coding RNA is filed under the name Gallus gallus (chicken). RNAcentral describes it as "lncRNA (ENSGALG00010003440.1)". Lineage: Eukaryota; Metazoa; Chordata; Aves; Galliformes; Phasianidae. The record is from RNAcentral.